GGGUUGUGAGGUUAAGCGACUAAGCGUACACGGUGGAUGCCCUGGCAGUCAGAGGCGAUGAAGGGCGUGCUAAUCUGCGAUAAGCGCCGGUAAGGUGAUAUGAACCGUUAUAACCGGCGAUACCCGAAUGGGGAAACCCAGUGUGACUCGUCACACUAUCAUUAACUGAAUCCAUAGGUUAAUGAGGCGAACCGGGGGAACUGAAACAUCUAAGUACCCCGAGGAAAAGAAAUCAACCGAGAUUCCCCCAGUAGCGGCGAGCGAACGGGGAGGAGCCCAGAGCCUGAAUCAGCAUGUGUGUUAGUGGAAGCGUCUGGAAAGGCGCGCGAUACAGGGUGACAGCCCCGUACACAAAAGCGCAUGUGCUGUGAGCUCGAUGAGUAGGGCGGGACACGUGGUAUCCUGUCUGAAUAUGGGGGGACCAUCCUCCAAGGCUAAAUACUCCUGACUGACCGAUAGUGAACCAGUACCGUGAGGGAAAGGCGAAAAGAACCCCGGCGAGGGGAGUGAAAAAGAACCUGAAACCGUGUACGUACAAGCAGUGGGAGCCCCACCACCAAAGCAUUUGCUGUACCGCGUUGACGGAGCGAAGCGACGUCAAACCGAUAAAACAGCAGUGUAAAGUGAGCCGCAGGGCGCUUUGCGCGACAGCGCAAAGGCAGGCGGUUUCGCGUAGCGAAAGCGAAUGCUUUGGGGUGGGGUGACUGCGUACCUUUUGUAUAAUGGGUCAGCGACUUAUAUUCUGUAGCAAGGUUAACCGAAUAGGGGAGCCGGAGGGAAACCGAGUCUUAAUUGGGCGUUAAGUUGCAGGGUAUAGACCCGAAACCCGGUGAUCUAGCCAUGGGCAGGUUGAAGGUUGGGUAACACUAACUGGAGGACCGAACCGACUAAUGUUGAAAAAUUAGCGGAUGACCUGUGGCUGGGGGUGAAAGGCCAAUCAAACCGGGAGAUAGCUGGUUCUCCCCGAAAGCUAUUUAGGUAGCGCCUCGUGAAUUCAUCUCCGGGGGUAGAGCACUGUUUCGGCUAGGGGGCCAUCCCGGCUUACCAACCCGAUGCAAACUGCGAAUACCGGAGAAUGUUAUCACGGGAGACACACGGCGGGUGCUAACGUCCGUCGUGAAGAGGGAAACAACCCAGACCGCCAGCUAAGGUCCCAAAGUCAUGGUUAAGUGGGAAACGAUGUGGGAAGGCCCAGACAGCCAGGAUGUUGGCUUAGAAGCAGCCAUCAUUUAAAGAAAGCGUAAUAGCUCACUGGUCGAGUCGGCCUGCGCGGAAGAUGUAACGGGGCUAAACCAUGCACCGAAGCUGCGGCAGCGACACUGUGUGUUGUUGGGUAGGGGAGCGUUCUGUAAGCCUGUGAAGGUGUGUCGUGAGGCAUGCUGGAGGUAUCAGAAGUGCGAAUGCUGACAUAAGUAACGAUAAAGCGGGUGAAAAGCCCGCUCGCCGGAAGACCAAGGGUUCCUGUCCAACGUUAAUCGGGGCAGGGUGAGUCGACCCCUAAGGCGAGGCCGAAAGGCGUAGUCGAUGGGAAACGGGUUAAUAUUCCCGUACUUGGUGUUACUGCGAAGGGGGGACGGAGAAGGCUAUGUUGGCCGGGCGACGGUUGUCCCGGUUUAAGCGUGUAGGUGUGUGUUCCAGGUAAAUCCGGUUCACUUUAACACUGAGGCGUGACGACGAGGCACUACGGUGCUGAAGCAACAAAUGCCCUGCUUCCAGGAAAAGCCUCUAAGCAUCAGGUAACAUCAAAUCGUACCCCAAACCGACACAGGUGGUCAGGUAGAGAAUACCAAGGCGCUUGAGAGAACUCGGGUGAAGGAACUAGGCAAAAUGGUGCCGUAACUUCGGGAGAAGGCACGCUGACACGUAGGUGAAGUGAUUUACUCAUGGAGCUGAAGUCAGUCGAAGAUACCAGCUGGCUGCAACUGUUUAUUAAAAACACAGCACUGUGCAAACACGAAAGUGGACGUAUACGGUGUGACGCCUGCCCGGUGCCGGAAGGUUAAUUGAUGGGGUCAGCGCAAGCGAAGCUCCUGAUCGAAGCCCCGGUAAACGGCGGCCGUAACUAUAACGGUCCUAAGGUAGCGAAAUUCCUUGUCGGGUAAGUUCCGACCUGCACGAAUGGCGUAAUGAUGGCCAGGCUGUCUCCACCCGAGACUCAGUGAAAUUGAACUCGCUGUGAAGAUGCAGUGUACCCGCGGCAAGACGGAAAGACCCCGUGAACCUUUACUAUAGCUUGACACUGAACAUUGAGCCUUGAUGUGUAGGAUAGGUGGGAGGCUUUGAAGUGUGGACGCCAGUCUGCAUGGAGCCGACCUUGAAAUACCACCCUUUAAUGUUUGAUGUUCUAACGUGGACCCGUUACCCGGGUUGCGGACAGUGUCUGGUGGGUAGUUUGACUGGGGCGGUCUCCUCCUAAAGAGUAACGGAGGAGCACGAAGGUUGGCUAAUCCUGGUCGGACAUCAGGAGGUUAGUGCAAUGGCAUAAGCCAGCUUGACUGCGAGCGUGACGGCGCGAGCAGGUGCGAAAGCAGGUCAUAGUGAUCCGGUGGUUCUGAAUGGAAGGGCCAUCGCUCAACGGAUAAAAGGUACUCCGGGGAUAACAGGCUGAUAACCGCCCAAGAGUUCAUAGUCGACGGCGGUGUUUGGCACCUCGAUGUCGGCUCAUCACAUCCUGGGGCUGAAGUAGGUCCCAAGGGUAUGGCUGUUCGCCAUUUAAAGUGGUACGCGAGCUGGGUUUAGAACGUCGUGAGACAGUUCGGUCCCUAUCUGCCGUGGGCGCUGGAGAACUGAGGGGGGCUGCUCCUAGUACGAGAGGACCGGAGUGGACGCAUCACUGGUGUUCGGGUUGUCAUGCCAAUGGCACUGCCCGGUAGCUAAAUGCGGAAGAGAUAAGUGCUGAAAGCAUCUAAGCACGAAACUUGCCCCGAGAUGAGUUCUCCCUGAGACUUAGAGUCUCCUGAAGGAACGUUGAAGACGACGACGUUGAUAGGCCGGGUGUGUAAGCGCAGCGAUGCGUUGAGCUAACCGGUACUAAUGAACCGUGAGGCUUAACCUUACAACGCCGAAG
Molecule: ribosomal RNA, 3067 nt
Filed under: Salmonella enterica subsp. enterica serovar Enteritidis str. EC20120008
Lineage: Bacteria; Pseudomonadati; Pseudomonadota; Gammaproteobacteria; Enterobacterales; Enterobacteriaceae
Description: bacterial LSU rRNA
Rfam family: Bacterial large subunit ribosomal RNA
Source: RNAcentral